Molecule: long non-coding RNA, 27010 nt
Filed under: Triticum aestivum (bread wheat)
Lineage: Eukaryota; Viridiplantae; Streptophyta; Magnoliopsida; Poales; Poaceae
Description: long non-coding RNA (TAES_LNC026405)
Source: RNAcentral
CAAGACCAAGAUGUUCGGCGGCCACAACCUCCGCUUCCGCCACCAGAGCGCCUCGCUCGGCUGCCCCAUGACCUUCUCCCUCUUCCUCCCCGCGUCCCCGGCCUCCAAGCUCCCCGUGCGUGCCCUAGCUCCCGCCCCCAGGACCACACUCCCCGUCUCCGGCCUAGAGAUCUGACGGCGUUGUCGUGGGUGUGGUGCAGGUGCUGUACUGGCUCUCCGGCCUCACCUGCACCGACGAGAACUUCAUCAUCAAGUCCGGCGCCCAGCGCGCCGCCGCGGCACACGGCGUCGCCCUCGUCGCCCCCGACACCUCCCCGCGUACGUUUAACUUUAACCCCCCUCUCUCGCCGCGUUCAAUUUCUAGGGUUUAUGCCUGUCCCUCCCUCCGCGGCCGUACCAUCCAAUUGUGAGUGGAAUAUUGGAAUUGGUGGGGUGAUGUGGCGACUGGCGAAACGCAGUAAGGUUAAGAUUUGUUUUUGUGGAAUUUUUUGGUGGUUUAUGCAUUUAGAUUCGGGAAUUGGGAUGCCUCUACCAGACAAAUUGUAGGAUGUACCCAUAUGCCUGCAAUUACCACGGGUUCACGACCAAUUCUUUUUUUAUUUUAUCAAAAAAGAAAAAGAAAAAUAAAAGGGAAAAGAAAAUUGAGAUCAAUCAGGAUAGGUAUGAGCGGCUUGAAUUCUGCAUGUUGAAUUUCGAUGGAAAUAACCUCUGAUGCCUCAGAGUAAGUUUUGUGCGUGCAUAUGGAUACACUCAAUUCCAAGCAUUUUCUGCCUCAGGGACUAUUAAGGGCCUAACUCUAAUCACUAAUGUGUAAUUGCAUCAUGUCAAUGGUGGCAGUGCACAUGACUUGUGGUACCAUGUCGUCUAUUUGUUUGAUGAUUACGUUUGUGAUGUGUUUGCUGAACGCUGAGGCUUCAGGGCAAUUUGCAACCAUAGAUGCUAAAACUGAUCAGAUAUUAGUAAACUACACAAUUGGGUCUGUUACAUUAUCCACCCAUAAAUAGUCCUGAAGACCAUGUCCAUUUGCUAGCACCACGCCUCCAUUUGACUGUUUGAAUUGCUCCUGUUUAAUGGUUAUAUUAUGCCAUUUUUGUGCCUCCAUGGAUUAUUGUGUCCAAAAUUGUUUGCGGUAGUGGGAUUGUUCGGGGCUGGAGCCUGGAAGACACUAUAACCAAACAAGGCCAACAAAACACAAUCUGCCCCUUGUCUGCAACAUGUAUAAACUGUAUUUUACAUUUCAUUUUUUAAUUUUUUGAGGAAUAAGAUUCAGAUUCUUCUGUCCAGCCUAAAGAUGGCGUAGAGUCGAGUCUGAAUAAUUUUAUGGGCAUUCUAGCUUGAUGAAUGACUGCCGUUUUCCUGAUAUUCUGCCAACCGACAAAGUGUUUUGUUUCCUUUGACUACCAAAUAACUUUUGGAAUGUUCAAUGUGAUCUCAUAUGUAUUCUUCUUAUUGCCUUUCUUUUGUCAUGAACACAUUAUAUGAUCUUGGUCCUUGUUUAAACCUUUUCCUUUUCUCAUCACUCCUUUGUUUCAUGCAGGUGGACUAAAUGUAGAAGGGGAGGCAGAUAGUUGGGAUUUUGGUGUUGGUAAGGACUAUACCUACGAUACUCUUGUUGUGCCAUUUGCACUUUAUGGGAUAUAUAAUUCGGCAACUUCCAUGGGAGUCUACAAAUUACGCAUGAACUUCCAUUGCCAUUUAUAAACGAUUUCUAGCAUUCGUCGAAAACCUUCCAGUAGCUGUACUGUUUGCUAUUUUUUGUGUUAAAUUUAUGCUGCUUUGUUUGUAUUGUGUUAGUUACGGUGCAUAUAUUUAUAAUUUUGUUUGCUUUUGUUAAAAAACAUCUGCACAUAAUUGCCGCAGUUGACAGAUAAACCUCUUGUGGUGUUGAAGAGAAAGUAAUUAUUUAAUCAACACAUCAGAUGAAGAAUAGUCCUUUUCAUGUUGACAUUGCUGUAUAUUUAUGUGGUCAAAACUCAACCAGAAAGUAGUCUGAUUGUCCUAACAGCUAGCGGUGACACGCUUUAUCCCAAGUUCCCAACCAUCAGUGUGCCGCCAGCUCAGAUGUUUUUAUUUCUAAUUAUGCAAAGCAUAGCAGAUUUAUAUCUUGUGGAUUAGAUUUUUUUUUAUCAAUGUGGUAUCUGAUAAUGUGGUUGCUCUUUAGCCUUUGUUACCUGUUAAGUCAAACAUCAUGUACUAUUCAUUCACCAAGUGAAUUUGACAGAUAUGGCAAAUGGAAAUGUCAUGUGGACAUUUUUCUUUCAUCUGUCACCUAUUUUUGACCUUAAAGAUUCAAUAAUGGAGUACAUGUUAUUUGGUCAUAAUAGGAUUUCUAUUCAUUAAUCUGUGAGGUUCUUCUACACAAGGUCUAAAUCAUUUGGGUAAUAAUGAAUUCAUGAAUUUGUCCCUUAGAAGGUGCAGCUGCUUUAUAUUUGUUGAGUUUUUAUAUGCAAGUACCACUUCAAGAAUUGUGUCAUAUGGAUAGGCCUAUGUGUUGUGCAUGUGGCUAGAGGUAACUAACUUUCCUAUCUUGACUAUUUAUGCGUAGGUGCUGGAUUUUAUUUGAAUGCCACAAAUGAGAAGUGGAAAAACUGGCGCAUGUAUGAUUAUGUUGUGAAGGAGCUGCCAAAAGUUUUAACUGACAACUUUGAACAGCUUAACACGUCAUGUGCAUCAAUUUUUGGCCACUCUAUGGGAGGGCACGGUGCACUGACUAUCUACUUGAAGAACACUGACAAAUACAAGGUACUAUUUGACACUAUUUGUUAAACCCUCUGCAUCUGGAAAUUCCUGUCUAUGAACCUUUUCUCAGAUUAGGAAACCCGUAGGCAUCUACUUCACACAAUAUCUGUACUCUCUUGUAAUUACUUCCAUGAAAUCUCACUUGGCAUUGCGAAUUUAUCUUACCUAUGCAGUCGGUGUCUGCAUUUGCUCCAAUUGCUAACCCAAUAAACUGCCCUUGGGGUCAGAAAGCAUUCUCAAACUAUCUGGGCACAACUAAAUCAGAAUGGGAGGCAAGUCUUCUCUGAGAUCAUUCCCCUCUCUCCCUCCCUCCUUCCAUUCUCAAACCGGCCAUGUAAAGUACUUAAUAGUGCAUGCUUACUGCAGGAAUACGAUGCAACCUUGUUGGUUAAGAAGUGCAACACACUUUCAACUCCUAUCCUGGUUGACCAGGUAUAAUGCAACAGUGCGAUAAAUAAUGCCCUUUUCCUGCUUUCAUGUUAUUUCUAGCCCAUCGAUGUUUUUAUUCUAUAUUGUUGGAAUGAACCAUUUAGUGUGUUACAUUGCAUAUUUCAAUUCGAAGUGUAGUACAACCAAGCAACUAGUCAUCUCCAUAAGCAUACAAGGUAGUUGGAUAAGGUCCCUGGAAGGUAUAAAUGAGACGCAGUCUUCUCUGAGAUCAUUUCCCUCCCUCCCUCCUUCCAUUCUCAAACCAGCCAUUCACUUGAUGUGACACAAGGAUCCUGUUGUAAGGUGCUUGUGAUAACAUGGAGUCAUCCUCGUGGACAACAGGGAAUUGAUCGGUUAGUUAUAAAUUGGGGCCUAGACCAAUUUAAAAUGAGUUGGUGCCUGAAAGACGUGAUGCCAUUUUGAUUGGUAUUCUAGCUGGGCAUGAUCGGUUAGCUUUGAUAUGAUUUCCUCAUCCAGUGAUACUUUCUUCCGUCUAGAUUGGCCAACACUGGUAGGAGUUCAUUGCAUGUUUCAGUAAGUGAAUCUGCCAAUAUCAAGGUCAACAUGUUAGAAGUUCCAAGUGUAGCAUCCCUUUUCUGGCAGGGAGUGAGAUGUUGCGAGGUUAUAAUUAUGCAUGUUCAACUGAACUGCCUAGAGCUGAAGUUUGGCAAUUCAACAGCACUGCGUCAAGGAAUCGAUUAUACAUAGGAUGACAGGUUCGAUUGAACUAGUUGAGAGUACAAGGCCCUGGAGAGUAACCGUUGGCUUGUACAUGACUUGUUUCUGAAGGAUAUGAAUUUGAGAAGAUGUGACAUUUAUCAUCUCACAAUCAGAGUGCGCUUUAUUUGCAAUCUGGACUGCCUAAUGCUCACAUCUGCAUUGCUUAAUUAUCUUGCUUCCAAUCAUAUAACAGUGAAGAGGAAGUAAUGUUGGCACAAUCACUUAAGUUUAUGCGUGGAGUGGAACAGGGAGAGGAUGACAAGUUCCUGGCGGAGCAGCUGCUGGCGGGCAACUUCGAGGAGGCGUGCAAGGCGGCGGGCGCUCCCCUGAUCCUGCGCAUGCAGCCGGGAUACGACCAUUCCUUCUUCUUCAUCGCCACCUUCAUCGACGACCACAUCGCGCACCACGCCCAGUUCCUCAAGAGCGGCUGACUGGCCAGCCACCUGUAAGCGAUCGGUAGAAGUGCCGAGUCAGCGGCGUCGCCUGCCUCCAUAUACUACCAUCUGUGUUGUUAUCACUUGUGUGUAUGCGUCGUGUGUCGGUUGGAUUGAGACGAGACGAAGUGUGUGGAAAUAAUGUGGACGGCUUGCGGUCGUCUCUGAAGUGCGCGUGCGUGCGUGCAUGCAUGCCUUGGCUGGAAAUUCAGUCGGUAGAAUUUGCUGGCCCUGCUGUAGUAGCAUUUGAGGUUUAAAGCGUCUGUGGCAGCCUAGUAAAGCACACAUGCCGAGCGUAGCAGGUGUCACGUGAUGGGUUGCCCUCGUCUGGAUCUGCAAUUUUUUCUUUGUGCACGGAAUGCGCUAUGUCGAUCGGAAUCUUUGCCCGUAGUAUGGCGUGUGACCAUGCACGCGCGGGGAGUUAUUUCGUGGUCAUGUCAAAACUUGUACGUGGAUCAGCAGUAAUCUUACUGUAAUUCGUACAGCUACAAGGUGAUACUCUCUCGAACUGAUACGUGGAUUAGCAGUAAACUUACUGUGUACUGCACGUUUUUCUCUAUUUCGUACAGCUACAAGGUGAUGCUACCUCUUGUCCUUUUUAGUGUGCAUAUUAGUUUUGUCCGAAGUAUCAGUCCUUUGAUCAAAUUUACAAAAAAAGGUAUCAGUACUCACAAUGUCAAGGCAACACUGCUAGAUUUAUUAUAAAAUGUAGAUUCGUAGUAUAUGUAGUUGGUGUUGUAGAUGUUCAUGUUUUUCAAUAUAAAUUUGGUCAAGAUUUAAACUUCAUAAAAUUUGUCUUGACACAAAUCUGACACGAGGAGUAAAAAUGACCAGAGAUCUCAGUAAAACAACUCGUGCACAAGAGAGCGAACAAGCACUCCCAUGUACUACUCCAUAGUAGAUAAUUAACCCAGCCAUUGUUUCGGGCUUCACUGCCUGCCUCGAGCCAAACACNNNNNNNNNNNNNNNNNNNNNNNNNNNNNNNNNNNNNNNNNNNNNNNNNNNNNNNNNNNNNNNNNNNNNNNNNNNNNNNNNNNNNNNNNNNNNNNNNNNNNNNNNNNNNNNNNNNNNNNNNNNNNNNNNNNNNNNNNNNNNNNNNNNNNNNNNNNNNNNNNNNNNNNNNNNNNNNNNNNNNNNNNNNNNNNNNNNNNNNNNNNNNNNNNNNNNNNNNNNNNNNNNNNNNNNNNNNNNNNNNNNNNNNNNNNNNNNNNNNNNNNNNNNNNNNNNNNNNNNNNNNNNNNNNNNNNNNNNNNNNNNNNNNNNNNNNNNNNNNNNNNNGAGCCCUCCACGCCCACCACCUCUCACUCCCGCCCCACCCCGCCGACGCAUGGGCCCAUUCCGCGCGGAGGGCCACAGCGCAGCGCCUCCGCGUGGGCGCAUGGCCGGUCGCGACCGCCACCUCGCCCGCUCCCCCCGCGGUUAUUUCUACCGGGCCGAGCCGCGCCUGGAGAGGGCAGAGUCAGUGGAGGUGGAAUAGACUAGACUAAUCUUGUAGCGGGGUCUCCGGCCGCCUCUACCACCGAGGCGAGCACGCCCCUGCCGGCCUGCUCUGUCGUCGGUGAGCACGCGCAGCGGCCCGAAGAGGCGCGUACUCGCGGGGCAAAGUGCGCCAGCGACCCGAGGUAUACCUCGUUCUCUUCCUGGUCUGGAUCCGUCCGUCUACUUCAGUUUCGUACUGAGUAGAUCCACUGCUUAAGCGUGAGCUGUUGGUGAUCCGCCGUAGGUUUUACUAUCUCCUCCUUCCGUUCCAGUAGAUCCGCUUGAGCUAGGCUGUUGGACUAGGAUCAUGGGUGCGUGCAUCUCAAGCCCGAACUGCUGGGCAUCCACCGUAGUAGAAUCGCGCCUUCACUUGGAAAUAUGAUUAAAUGGUAGGGGGUCGACCGAAUCAUGAGUAGAUCUAUUUUCUUCAACAAGUAAAUCAUGCGUGCCAAGUACUUUUUUUCAUUGCCGGCUCGUGUGUGCAUCUUAGUUCUUCAGUGCAGAUUGCUGGCCAUCCAUGGUAGAUUUAUAGUGUGCUAAUCUGAUGGUGCAAGCUGCUCGAGGAAACCAAAAGUUCUCUAUGCCUUGCUCUACUACUUUUAGGUUGCUCUGGGUUUCUUCUAUGAAGAGAUGUGCACCAGUGAUAAUAGUGUGAGAUUGUUAUUUUCCCGUUACUUCUUUUGUGAUGGUUGGUGUGUGUGCGAUCUUAAGUGCAGACCGCUUGUCAUUCACUGUUAUUUUUUAUGUGUACAUUUAGAGUGUCUGAGUUUCUUUUAGGUAAUGCUCAUUUCUUUCCUAGAUGAGAUAACUAGCUCAUGAUUCAGUACUGUAUUUCUCUUCAUGAAGAUAUAUUGUACUCCUGCAGGUUUGCUUGCCUGCUGACCUUACAAAUAUUUUCUUUUCAGUAGGUGCCUUGGUAUAGAAUGAAGUGAAGAGAGCAGAGUAUCUUGGUCGUACUAAUCAAUUCAUCAUAUUAUGUGCGCAAUAAGAUUUUGCUAUGCUUUCACCGUUGAUGCCCACUGGUUGGAUCAUGCUUCUGUUUAUGAGCUCAUUGAAGUAACUCUCUCGUAGCUCAAAUGGGCCAAUUUCUCGUUUGUGUGGCACACAAAACCUUCAGCUAUCCAUCUCCAUAUCAGUUGGUCUCUCUUAAUUUUGUUAUCUUCUGGAAAUAUGCUUACGUAUAAUAAAUGAUGCGAAGGUAGAUCAUAGAAACAUGAACACAAUUCUUAAUCUAAAGCAAGAUGGUGUAGGCUACUUUUUGUGAUUCAACACAAAUAGCAGGCAUACAUGCACCAAUACUAAGAAAAUUAGCAAAGAAAAUGAGUAAAAGAGGCACUUGACUUGUAGAUUAUAAAAGAGUGAUGAUCUAGAAGUCAACCCUCUUUUACCAGUAGUUUUGAUCUACCUUCUCAUCCAUAGGAUUAGUUAUUAUGUCUAAGCAUGUUUUUAGAAGAUUAGAAUAUUAAGCAAGCUCAUUCGAUAUGUAAGGUGGAUAGUUUGAGGUUUUGUUUAUCAUGAAAAACAAGGGAUUAGCAAGUUUGAGCUCGGUGGUAGAAUUGCUUAGUGAGAUCGUGAAUAGGAGCAUGAUUCAACCAAUUGACAUCAAUGUUGAUAAAGGCAUGGAAAAAUCUUAUUGUAUACAUGAUAUGGUGAUUGAUUUCAUAUGCUGAAGAACCCUUGCAUGGCACUGAGUGAAAGCCUUCUAUCCAAAGGCGGCAAGAUGUGAAGAUUAUCCAUCCGAAAGAGCAUGACAGGUAGCAGCUAUGUCACAAUGAGGUCUGUUGCAAUUGUUGAUUGGGUGUAGCUUGUUGAGUGCUCCAAGUUCUACAUGCCCUGGAUUUAGAAUAUUGUGCUGCAUGUCUCCAUUCUUGGCAGUCACAAUGAUUCAAGAAUACUGUGUUUGCAAUGACAUGAAGCUCCUAUUGUAUUUCUACCAACUAGUGCUGAAUUAGUCACGAGUCUCUUGGUGUAUUUGUACCCACUGAUGCUGAAUUAUAGUUCGAGUCAAGAACUGUCAAAGUUCUGUGUCGGCUCCUGCCGUUAGCUCAUGAGGAACUUGUUUACCCUAUUCCUUUAUUUUGAUGCUGGCUUGUUAUACAUUGUGUCUCUUUUCUUUAUAGCAGUAGCAGCUUUUGAAGUCUUCUUGCUCUGCUCUUUGUAUGAAAUGUAAGGUAAUUGUUCUGAAAUGAUAUGUAUAUGUUACUUUUGUAGGUAAAAUUACAUGUACAGUACCAACGUCUUCAACUGUUAUUUUCUUUCUGACUGCCAUCAGUGGCAGGAUCACAAGUGAGGCCGUGCAAUGUCCGUGCUUAUCUACUUGUUAAGCCGUUUGAGGAUAUUGGUCCUGCAUGCUUUCCAUUUUUGCUAAGUAGUUUUUGCUAAUCGAGGCGGCAUGAGAGGCUGAGGCUCUAGAGCACUGCAUUUGCCUUGUUUUGAUUUGUAUUUCUUCUGUAGUAGGGGCAUUAAGUUCUAAUUGAGAUUGUAUUGCAGUCAGUUCAGUUUAUAGUACAAUUUUUCAAACAGUUCAGUUUAUAAUAAGACAUGAAGUUGUAAUUGAGAUACGAUUUAAUUUAGCCGCAACAAUUUUUUGAUCCCUAGAAAUUCUAGUGUUACUCGAUCCAAAGCCAAUUCCACAAGCUGUAGUGUACAUGAUCCUUUCAAUUUUUUGAGACUUUGGAUAGUUAUAGCGGCCCAUGGUGCAAGAUGUACCUUUCUUUGGCACAAACAACAACAACGCGGUCAGCUCAUAUGCUCUUGGAUGAACAGUAAAUUUGAAAAUUGUUUAAAAAUAAAAAAAAAUCUGAAUUCUUUUAGGCAAACUUUAAGAAAUGUUUGGAGUGCUUGCACUCGUGGCCAAAAAGAAAAAUCAAAUCAAUGCUCUGAAAUGGUACUUUUGAACACAUAAAUUUAUUUUGUUUGCCAUGAUUUUCACCAAUGUGAUUUUAUUAUAAUGAAACUCUGCAAGCACUACAAACAUUACCUAAAGUUUGUAAAAAAUGGUUCACAUUUUUUUGGACCCUAUUGUUCACACCAGAAGCAUUUGAUCUCGAGCUGAGAAAAGUACUGAUGCGGUCAAUGUUGGUUUCCUUCUACAUUCCUGGCUACCCCAGCUUCUACUAGGAAACAAAGAUUUUUCUAGUGUUUUUUUAAAAAGAUUUACUGUUCACUGAGAGCAGCCGAGCCCGGGUUAGAAAUGAAUAUUCGCACGCUACCAGCCACUUCACCCAGAACACCACCAGACUCGCGUUUAGUUAAAGCCGCACAAGCUAAGACAGGGAGAUCGCAGUGUGAUCUUCGCUUCGACAGGUUACUGAUGGUGCCAGAAAAUACUACUCCCCCAGUUUGAUUUAUAAGAUGUUCUAAUAUAUUUAAAAAUCAGAACUAUAUACACGUGUUUCAGUGUGUUUGUUUAUUUAUUUCAGUCCGUAUGUAGUCUAUAUUGAAAUGUCGAGAACGUUUUGUUAUUUGGAACAGAGGUGAUGCAUCACAUUAACUGUUUGAAACAUUUAUGUUGCAUGCUUCAACAUUGCACAUAACGUGGUGAAUAUUACAUGUGACUGUGUGUGCUUCUGUAUUUAGAGUAACCGAGCCGUUCAUAUCAACGCAUGUCUCCUCACGUGGCAUUGCAAGUAGCAGGAGCUAAUCGAAUUCGUCGACAUGGACUCCAAGGUGCGAGCCUCCAGCGCUCCCCUGCUUCUAGUCCGACCAAGAUAUAGGUUCAAGGACGCUGCAUUUGCCUUGCCUUCUGUAACAACAUGAAGCUUAGGGUCUGUUCGGAGACUCUCCACUACCCAAGUCCGCUCUGGGAGUUGGUGGAGCUAUAGUUGAAAAUGACGGAGCGGGGAAAAAGGAGCUCCAUAGAUUUUGAGAUUUCAAGAAGCUGGAAGACUGCUGAACACCUCCUUACAUGAUAUUCACUUAUGCCUGAAUUCAGUUAUCACUUCCGUCGAUUCAAGAACUGUCAAGUUUCUGCCGUGCCUCCUGCAUUACAAUGUACUGCUGGUAGGUUAAUUUGCCUGCUUGGAUUAUCUGUUUCGUUUCUUUCUUCAUAGCAGCUUUCAGAAUUCAGACUCGUUUAGUGCAGACUUGUGGAAUAAGAAUUUGUUCAGUUAAUAAGAUCUUGUGAAGUUUUGCCUUCAAUUCUAGCCGUUGCGUUUUUGUUUCUUCAUCACCUUUUCAUGGUACAAAGUUUACCAAACAAAGAGGAAAAGUAGUGGGUGUUAGUGACCCUGUUGAUGCAUCGAUAUCUGAAGUUAAGAAAGAUUUGAUGAGCAAACCAUAUCAGGCAACUUGUUACUUUUCUGUAGCGUAGCAACACGUCAGUUUACACCACAUGUCAUGACGGUACAUAAGCAUGAUUUUAGGUUGAUAGGGCACACAGUAGCAAACAAAAGGAAAUACAAAGGCAACAAAAUAAAUAAUUCUCCUUUUGAAAAAAUGUAAAUAAAUAAAUUUAUAUAAUCAACUAUUCACUGGUUCUUUCUUCUACGCGUUCUUGCCUCUAGUUGGGUCGCACUUUUCACGCACCAUCUUUUUUAAUUAGCUAGAAUUCAAAAUUUAUAUAAUCAACUAUUUUUUUUCUAUUUUAUUUAUUGAUGUGAAACUUGAAUCUAGAUUAGAAACUGUGUGGUGUAAUAGAAGCAUAUCGUGUUGAUGUUGUCAAAUUUCUGCCCUUUUUUGUGAACACCACAAACCGUGUUGAUGAUACUUCAUCCCACCAACUGAUGGCUGAUGAGCAGAAUGACAAAAUUGUUUUAAUUCUAUCAUGAGGACUUCUUCAGUUUAUGAUGGCAUCUGUUUGUCCACAAGCGCAUUAGAUGCUCCGAUGCAGCAAAUAUAUUUUGUAUCCAUCCUUAGGCUUCAUUCAGUUUGAAGGAUUUUUACAAGAAAAGCAUAGGAACAAAGAUCCAGAGAAGAAUUUCCUAUAGAUGCAUUCGGUUUGUAGGAAACGCGUACGGGAAUUUUGUAGGAAUACUAUUUAUUUUCUAUUUUUUAGAGAAAUUUACACAUCCACUCAAAGCUUAUUUUGUGUGUACGAGCGAGACAAGACAAUUUCUCUACUACUCCUAAAUCCUACGUUUUUGUUUCCUCUAUACCGAAUGAGGCCUUAUACUUUCGAUCAAACAGUGCAAGGAAAUAGUCUUAGGACCUCUUUGAUUCAUAGGAUUUCUAAAAUGCAGGAAUAGGAAAAAUACUGGAACGCAGUAGCAUGGCAUCUCCAAUCUUAUAGGACUAAUGGGCGUUUGAUUGCACAUAGGAUAGAUGUUCUUGACACGGAGCUGGAGUAGAUGGAAAUUCUACUAUGAAAACUAGUACAAACAAAUCCUAAGGAAGAAAAUCUUACGAAUUGUAAUCCUAGGAAUCAAACCACGAAUGUAGGAAAAAGCCUUAAGGAUUACAAUCCUACAAAUUGUCUUUAAAAAUCAUUUGAGUGAAAGAGGCCCUUCGAAGUUAGCUGCGGGAAUAUAGCUGCGGAGUCUAGAUCAACCACCGUUCUUAAAAUUAGCAAUAUGUGGUCAUUUGCUCCACUACGGACGCAAGGAGGUGCGUGGUUCCAAAGUUGAUUAAAUCCAACGACCAAGGCAGCUGUGGGUUUCUAGACAACGCAAAACUUAGCUAUUUAACUACACUAAUGCACCUGUUUAGAGAGUUGGGGCAUGGAGCCAUCGAUGGCAUCAUCUCAAGUGUCCUGACGCCCAUUGUCUAUUGGCAAGCACCAAAGGACAGGGCCAAAGGGGCAUACGCUUAUCCUAGCGCAUACUUAGACAUAGUCACAUACACAUCCACUGAUCCACAUCCACAUGGCUAUUAAUUAGUGUGUUCCACAUGGGUGACAACGCGUCGCAAAGUCAGCGCAUGGAGAUUGAUUGGCUCAAAUUUGACAAUACAAAUAGGAAAGACAUAUGAGUUACUGUGGAAAUUACUUUUGGAGGCCGAGCUCCAUGGAGGCCUCCAAAUGCAAAAUUCAAAAUUCAUGAAAAUUCAUACAUUUCAAAAAAAUUCUGGAAAAAAAUACAGAUAUAGAUGAAGGCAUAAUGCACAAGUGUGUAUAUUUUCAGGAUGAAAUACAUUGGAAUGAGGGCUUUGCAGAAAAUAAAAAACAUUUGGGGCUUUUUAACACAUGAUACUAGUCAUCCCCAGACCAUGAAUUUGUCUUUUUGUACAAGUAGUAUUUCAACGUAUUUCAUUCUGAAAUUUUACACACAUACACCUCACAUCCUUGUUUACUUGUACAGUUUUUUCCAGAUUUUUUUUGAAACCAAAAGUUUUUAUUUUUCAAAAAUUCGGCCUUCAUGUAGGCCGAGAUCCAAAACGCUUCUCUCGAGUUAUUGACCCUUAAAUGAUGCAACAAUUCAUGGAGUUAAACAGGUUCAAAUCUGUCCUUUGUGUUUUUUCUUUUCUUUCGGUGCGCCGGGCGGUGGUUCCCUAGUUGAUUAAUCCAAUUAUCCAAGUAACUGUCAUGCUUGUCUGGAGUCAAUGCAAACUGAGUUGUCCUGGUGCUUAAACAUGGCCACAUGGAUGUUAAUUAGUGAUGCACACAUGAUCUUAGGGAACAUCAGGAAUCUCUCUAGUUUUUCUAAGUCACAUGAAAACUACGCGUACGCUAAGUCAGUGCCUUGUGAUUGGUGGUGCGGUGUAUAAUUACGAGGCUAUUUAUUUCUUGCAUCUCAAGAUCUAAUCUAAGCCUUGUCAGAGUAACACCGUCUACUAUUACUACCACAACCGCUGAUACAUGGGACCCCGCUAUCCACAGCCCCGCAUGGCAGCCAGACUAUGAACAUGACCGUCUAACUAAUCCAGAUACAUCGUUAAAUUAGUAAGAAUUCUGUACAACACUGGUUUCUAUACCUUAGCCAGUUUCUCCCUUAUGACACGAUCAUUGCCUAGUGUGCCUUUGGAGUAACCACAUAGCGCUUCCAGCCCUCUGAGACCCAAACCACUCCCAGAGAGGCCGAGACAUGGAGAUUGCCAUGGGGGCUAUUGGCCCUCUCCUCCCGAAGCUCAGUGAGCUGCUCAUGGGAGAGCUCACCAUGGAGAAACAAGUGAGGAAAGGCAUCGAGUCUCUCAUGGUAGAGCUCACAUUGAUGCAUGCUGCCCUGAGUAAGGUGGCAGAAGUUCCCGUGGACCAGCUUCACAAGGGGGUCAAGAUUUGGGCAGGAAAUGUCAAGGAGUUGUCAUACCAAAUGGAGGAAAUUGUUGAUGUUUUCAUGGUGCGCGUGGGGGAUGGUGGCAAACCUGCCAACCCAAAGAACAAAGUCAAGAAGAUACUCAAGAAGGUUAAAAGAUUAUUCAAGAAUGGCAAGGACCUCCAUCAGAUCUCUGAUGCUCUAAAAGAAGCGGUUCAUCAAGCUAAGCUGUUGGCCGAGCUGCGCCAAAGGUAUGAGCAAGGGAUGCGAGAUCCUAGCACUAGUGCUAGUGUUGACCCUCGCAUGAUGGCCCUAUACACAGAUGUGUCUGAACUCGUCGGCAUUGAUGAAACACGAGAUGAGUUGAUAAACAUGUUGAUUGAAGGUGAUGAUUGGUUGAAGCAUCCAUUGAAGACAGUCUCUAUUGUUGGAUUUGGUGGGUUGGGCAAGACAACUCUUGCCAAAUCAGCGUAUGAGAAGAUCAAAGGGCAAUUCGAUUAUGAUGCUUUUAUUUCGGUUUCUCAGAAUCCCAGCAAGAAGAAAGUCUUCAAGAAUAUUCUCUAUGAACUUGACAAGAGCAAGUAUGCACGCAAUCAUAGUGAGGAAUGGGAAGAAAAUCAUCUGGUCGAUGAAAUAAUUGAAUUCCUUAAUGGCAAGAGGUACAUGUGUUUCUUUCCUUUUGCAAACGGAUUAAUUAUCAUUUUGUCUACUUAAAUAAUGAUAGUAUUUUAGAGUAGUGCAUAUGCAUCUUGAUACCAUAUUGUUGACUUACAAUUUUAUGCUUUUGGCGUAAAUGAUGUAGUUAGUACAUAACCCAUCUUUCAACAAUUAGGGAGUGCAUACAUUAAGGCGACCAAGAAAUUCUUAUGCCUAAGUGGAUGAUCUCAACUGUUAAUGCAACAAUUGCACAUUUCUAGAACUAUAGUUGCACAUAAGUUAUGGUAUGUUUGUGGAAAUCUAGGUCUCAGAAUAUGCAAUUUGGUCGAGUUAUAAAUACUUUUUUGUUAGUUUCCUCUGAAAUAACAUACCCAUACUAAUAUAAUAUAUAUCUUACUGUAUAUAUCUUCAUUGUACUGAUUUACUAACUAAUGCAAAAUGUAAACAAAGGUACCUCAUCAUAAUUGAUGACAUAUGGGAUACAGAAGUGUGAAAAUUAAUCAAGUGCGCUUUCUCCAAGAAGAGUCCUGGAAGCCGACUAAUUACGACAACCCGCAUCAUCAGUGUCUCUAAAGCAUGCUGCUCUUCCAAGGAUGAUAUCUACAGAAUGAAACCUCUUUCAGACGUUGUGUCAAGAAUGCUCUUCUAUAAAAGAGUAUUUAAUGAGAAAGGGUGUCCUCAAGAGUUGGUGCAAGUAUCCAAAGACAUUUUGAAAAAAUGUGGUGGCAUACCAUUAGCUAUUAUUUCUAUAGCAAGUCUUCUGGCUAAUAAUCAUGAGAUGAAAACAAAGGACCAAUGGUAUGCUUUGCUCAAUUCCAUUGGUCGCGGACUUACAGAAGAUUGCGGUUUGGAGCAGAUGAAAAAGAUAUUAUUAUUCAGUUAUUAUGAUCUACCUUCGUAUCUAAAACCUUGUUUGUUAUAUCUUAGCAUCUUCCCAGAAGAUCACAAGAUUAUGAAAGGAAAGCUAAUAUGGAGAUGGAUAUCAGAAGGUCUUGUUUAUAGUGAAAAACAAGAAACUGACUUAUAUGGGCUUGGUAACAACUACUUCAAUGAACUUGUAAAUAGAAGUAUGAUCCAGCCAAUUUGCAUUGAUGAUAGAGAAGAUAAACAAGCGUGUCGUGUACAUGACAUGGUGCUUGAUCUCAUAUGCUCACUGUCAAGUGAAGAAAACUUCGUCACAAUUUUGGAUGGCACCGGAAGAAAAAUGCCUAAUUUGGUUCGCAGAUUGUCCAUCCAAAAUAGCAAGAUGGAUGUUGAUAUUUCUAGGAUGGCACACAUGAGAUCUAUUACCAUUUUCACCAAUAAGGUUGUCGGGAAACUGUUGGAUAUUUCAAGUUUUCAAGUUCUUCGUGUGUUGGAUUUCGAAGGUUGUGAUAUCUCGGAUAUUGGGUAUGUGGGAGAUCUUUUACAUCUGAGGUACUUAGGACUAAGAUAUACUCAUGUUGAGGACCUUCCCACUGAAAUUGGGAAGCUACAAUUUUUGCUUACCUUGGAUUUAAGAGGUACUAAGAUAAAAGUUCUGCCAUCAAGUGUUGUUCAUCUAAGACGUCUGAUGUGCCUGCAUGUUGACUAUCAUAUGAAGCUGCCGUCUGGGAUAAGUAAUCUGGUUUCCCUAGAAGUGCUAGGUACAAUGAUGAUGUUUGACAAGGACCUCAAUGCUGUGAAAGAAUUGGGCCAUCUGACCAAGCUCAGGGUGCUCCAAGUUUACUACCAUGUUGAUGAGAUCCUGGAUAAAGCUUUGAUGAGAUCUCUUAGUAAUCUGUACAAACUGGACAGUCUAGAUAUUUAUGUCCGUGGUGGAGAAAUCAAUUUCCUGAGCGAAGAUUGGGUGCCUCCUCUGCAACUCCGUAGAUUGGCUUUCUCGUUACCGUCGAGUUGGUUCAAGACACUGCCAUCAUGGAUCAAUGCUUCAUCGCUUUCUCUCCUCACCUAUCUUCAUAUAAAGGUGGUUAAAGUGUCAUCGGAGGCCAUCCAACUUAUUGGGAUGCUUCCUGCUCUUUGUGUUCUCGAGAUAAUGGAUAUUUCUAAGUUCUAUGAAGAGCGUGUGGUGGAAAUGUCCGCCCUUUCCUCUGUUGCGUUAUUCCCGUGUGCGACGGAGUGUCACUUCCUUUGUAUUGGUGCAGUGCCAUCUAUGUUUCCACGAGGAGCUGCACCGAGGCUUAAGCACCUUGGCUUCACCUUCUCAGCUAAGUGGAUCACCCGUGAAAACAUCGAUUUGUGCAUGUGCCACCUCCCUUCCUUGGAGCGAGUUGAGGUUAAAGUUAUUAAGGAGGAAGCUAGUGAUCGCGAGGUGUAUGAAGCAAAGGUAGUGCUGAGGGCCGCAGCAGAGGACCACCCCAACCAUCCCGUCCUUGACUUACAUUGACGCAUGUAUAGGAAUAGGUACGCACACUAGGUGUUCAUUCUUAUGUGUCAUUGCUCUUUCUUUGUUUCUUUCUCAGUUUCUAGAGAAAUACACCUCCACGAGCUAACCUCUGGUGUACGUGUAUUCUUUUGUUUUCUCACCAAGUGUUUAAUUCCUCUCCACUUCUUUGUACAGUUUUAGGCGGCGAGAGUGCUAGGUCGAUUCACCAACUCUUUCACUCAGCAGGUAUUAUGCUAACAGCAUUGAGCUAUACUUAAUUUCAAUAUUUUGUUUAGCUAGCUAGGUCGAUUGAUCUGGACCCUAAAGCCUAAAUAUUGUAAUAUGAACUACUUCUACUUAUGCAGCAAAGUUACAAGAUUACAUAUGUGAAGUAAUUCAGAUUAGUGAGCAAUCCACUAAGUAAUAUGUGUUUCUAUUGGAUGAAACCUGUGCUUUUAUUUUCUGUUCGGAACAUUUGACUGAACCAUUUGUAUGCAUGUGCUUGCACGAUCCACAUCUGCAUGUAUUUGCUAGCAGUAUAUGCUACGCGCCCAUCUGAAGUUCCAGCAAAUCUGCAAUGUGGAUUUCGCCUUGGUUACUUAUGGUGCAUAAAUACAUAGCAUCAGUUGUUACUUCUGCUUGCCACAAGAUCACAUAUAAAGUGCUCCACGUUACAUUAGCAAGCAAUCCACUAGUAGUACUAGUACAAAUACGUGCCCUGUAUAUGUGCCCUUUUCGUAGUUGGAUGGACUAUGUUUUCUUCUUCUGUAACAUUUAGCUGGGCCAUUGACAUGUAUGUCCUUCAACAUGGCAUUGCAGGCAGCAUGAGCUAACAAAUGUCGUCGACAUGUACUUGAUCGCGCAUGCCUCCGCUUCUUCUCCAGCCAUACUGUCAAGCACACUGCGUUUGCCAUGCCGUUUGAUCCGUCUUCGUUCUGCAACAAGAUGAGGCAAAUCAACCGACUCUUCUAACUUUAUACAGGGGACCAAAUCAUAUAUGUGAUGUUUUUUUUUGUUAUCUUGCAACAAAAUUGUAUCAAGUGAAGCAUACAAAGACGAUGAUCUCAUAGAUCGAUUGUCAUUAGCAGUGUCUUGUUAUGUUGCCCCUCGGUUAAUGCAUGAUUAAUCUUUUUUCUUGAACGGUGCGUGAGAGCCAGUCGGUUUCGGCCGCAGUUUCAACAGAAAUCUAAGUGAAGCUGUAAGGCUGAAGCCACGCCAAAUUCAGUCGGACAGAUUAUUUAGCGAUGCCUCAGUUUGUGCAGCGUUUGUUAUACAUGGGCACAUUCAGGUCCUUGCGUUGUUGUGAGGUAUUCCGAUUUGUCACCACACGUUCCAGAAACGUUGGUCAGGCCUUCUGCUGUCUGCUCUUUUGUAGCAACUUCUGCGUGAGUGGGGAGAUUUCAGAUGGAGUUGCAAUCAGAAAGAUGCAGUGCCCAAGCUUACUAGUAGUAGUAAGAAAAUGAUCCUCCGGUGAAAGUGAAAUCACGCACAAUUAGAGCAUCUCCAGCCGUUCGGCCCCAGGGCGCCGAAAAAGAGCGCCCUGGGGACGAGCCGGCGCUAGAUCGCCCCCUGGGGCUCGGUUUGCUCCCAGUCACGCGCCCACGGUCGCCGUGGGUUCGGCAAAAAGUUCGUUUCAAUUUUUUUGCAAACUCGGCGAAGUUCGGCCGAUUUUUGACGAAAUUUGUACAAAAACUUAAAAACAUGCAUGAACUAACUUAAAAACGAACUAAAAGCCUAAUAAGCCGCUGCCGCCAUCGUCUACAUGCCGAGAAGCCUGUAAAAGCGGGUGUAGUUGCCGCCGCCGCUGUCGUCGUCGUCAUUGCCGCGCGCCUCACCUGUGUGCCUGCUGCAUCCCUCGCCGGGGUCGCCGACAGCGGUUGACGGCCCGGACUCGCCCUCGUCGUCGCUGUCGAUGAUGAUAACGCCGCCCUCCUCGGCUACAUGGCGACGCUCCUCGGCGCGGCUACGGGCCUGGGUCUCCAGUUACGCCCGACGCUGGCGGCGCACCUGCUCGCGGACGUAGUCCUCCCUCACCCAUUUGAGGGCGGACUCGUCGUCGGGGGCCACCAUGCCGGUGUGCUCCGGCUUCACGGGGAGCAUGUCUGGCUCGGGCUUCGACCGGACCAGGCAGACGGAGCGCCUCGUCGGUGCAGUCGCAGGCGAGGGCUCGUUGAUGACGAGGGCGUCGCUGCGAGCACGACGCCCGAGCGGUGUCUCCUCCAGCUCGGGCUUGACGGGGCGGAGGGCCGGNNNNNNNNNNNNNNNNNNNNNNNNNNNNNNNNNNNNNNNNNNNNNNNNNNNNNNNNNNNNNNNNNNNNNNNNNNNNNNNNNNNNNNNNNNNNNNNNNNNNNNNNNNNNNNNNNNNNNNNNNNNNNNNNNNNNNNNNNNNNNNNNNNNNNNNNNNNNNNNNNNNNNNNNNNNNNNNNNNNNNNNNNNNNNGGCGUGUAGAAGAUUUACUUCGUGUAGUAUAGCAAUUCUGCACUGUAGCGGUACUGUAGCGCACUGUAGCAGCCUGGGGCCCGGGGCAUGGCCCAGUCCUAGCUCCGCCCCUGCCGGAGCCCGACGACGAGGACGACCCCGGCUCCAUCCGCCGCGGCAUCCAGGAACUGCCACGCCGAUGAGAGAAGGAGGUCCGCGUCGGGUACUCCAGCCGCGACACAUUGUCGGUCUCGAUGUGGUCGAGGACGGCGUCGAGUGUGCGGCCGGGGACGCCCCACCACUCGUGCCGUCCUUCGGAGUUGUGGCAGCCGCGGGGACAAUGUCGUUGACGGAGGCGAUCUGCUCCUCGCGACGGUGCUGGAAGUACAUCGUCCACAGCGUUUCGCUGUCGGGCGCGUACCUCGGCUCGUUCCGCUGCUCCUCCGUCAACGAGGAGCGGAUGCGGGUGAUCUCCGCCCGCCGUGCCGCCCCUUCGGGCACCGGCGGCACCGGGACGCCGCCGACGCUCAGUCUCCACGAGCCAGGCACGCGCAUAUCGGGGGGCGCCGGGUACUCGGCCUCGUACAGAAGGCGUGCCUCCGGCUCCUGGAGGUGUCGGCGGCCGAAGCCGUUCGCCGCUGCGCCGUCGCCUGGGUAUCUCUCCGCCAUGGUUUCGCUCGUCGGCGGGCAUGGGAGUGGUGGGAGAGCUCGCCGGCGGGGAAAAGGCUUUCACUGGAGGUAGAGGGGAGGCUACAGCGCUCACCGGCGGGGAGGGGCGCCUUUUUAUAGCCGAAGCGGGGUGGCCGGGGGGCGGCAUGCGGGCGAACGCGUGGCGCAUGCGGGCGGGACGCGCGUCUUCACUGCGCCGCCCGUGAGGCAUCAAUGGAGGCGACCGGCGCGGCAGCCUUCGCAUUGAUUCCCACGGGAACCGAGGCGAUGAGGUCGACGAAGCGCCUGUCUCGCUGACUUGGCGGGCCCGCGGCUGUUUCGCGCAAAAACACUCGCCCCGGCGCCCCCCGGCGCGUCGGGUUCGACCUGGGUCCGCCGGCGCUGAUUUCGGCCCAAGCCGGUGAAAAAUGGCUCCCGGGGACGUGACUAGGCCGUUUUUUCGGCGCCGGCGCAAAAAAAUCAUUCGGGGAGACCUUUCUAGGGGCGCGGCUGGAGAUGCUCUUUGACCAGGAGAUCUAUCAGACCUCAACUUAGCUUUUUCAAUGUUUGUCUAAGCUGGAUGACACAUGGGACCAUACCGCGCGGAGGACCCACAUGGUAGCAGCUCUGUGCCGGCAUGUGAUUGGUCGGAUCCGUUAACCCCUCUCCCCCCGUCGGUUAUUUCUACAGCGUUUGGAGGGACCGGUUUAGAGAGAGGGAGAGUCCGUCAGUCAGAGGCAGAGGUCGAGCCGUGGAGUAGAUCUCGCCGGCUGGGCUCGUCCCGGGGCUGGUGCGUCCUGCCUGCCGCCGGCGACCUCCUCGUCGGUGAGUACGUGCAGCAGCCCGGAGAGGUGCCAAAGGCUGGAUCUCGCAGAACAAGGACAUGAGGUAUAUUUCGUUUCUUCCUGAUCUGGAUCCGAUGAACUUAAACUCAUGGUGGUGUGCAUCUUCAGUUCAAAUUUCUGGUCUUCUUCCGUUCUAGGUUGUUUAAUCUAGUUUCCUCAAGUACCGGCCGGCCGGCCGGUGUGCGCAUCUUAAUCCUUCGGUGCAAAUCCUUGAUUAUCCAUGUUAGAUUUACUCCUAGGGUCUGCUUUAGUGAGGCCAUUUGUUGCCAGAUAAUUAGCACAUACUUCACUACUGACCUCUCUUUGUGAAGAAACAUAUAUCAGAUUAACAUCUUAAGUGCAAAUCAUUUGUGAUUCACUCUAGAUUCUGCUUAUUUUUUGCCUUGAUAAAUAGCUCAUUAUUCAUUGUUAUCUUCUCUUUAUGAAUAAAUAGUAUACUCAUGUUGACUUGCCUGCCAACUAAUUGUUUCAAAAUCUUCACAUGCACAGGUACUUGGGCAUGGAAUGGGAAUCACAAUUGUUGUGGUGGAAAUGAAGAAUAUCCUGUUAUUUGGCUGCUACCAUCGAUGUUCUUUUAGAUUGAACAUUGCCAUGAGCGUUUCUCUACGCAAUGAAUAUAUUAGAUCAAGCAUCAUGUCAUGGACACCAUAAGACUUUUCUGCGUUGAUAGUGAUGUCUACGGGUUGGAUCGUACUUCUGUUUAUCAGCUCACUGAAGUAACUCUCCUAGCUCAAAUGGGUUAAUUUCGUGUUUACAUGAUACACAAAUCUUCAGCUAUCCAUCUUCAUAUGAAUUGGUCUCGCUUAAUUUUGUAAUCUUCUGGAUAUAUGCUUACAUAUAAUAAAUGAUGUGAAGAUAGAUCAUAGAACAAAACCAUAAUCUUUAGUCUUAAGCAAGUUAGGGUAAACUAGAGAUAGAACACAACAGAAGCCACACACACGAAUGACAUGGAAAGCAGCAAAGAAAUAGUAAAAGAAGCUCUUGACUUGUAGAUUAUGUCAAAGUGAUAAUCUAGAGUCAAGCUUCUUUUACUAUUAGUUUCGAUCUACCUUGUCAUCUAUAGGAUUAGUUAUUAUAUCUAAGUAUGUUUUCAGAAGAUUAGAAGAUUAAGCAAGGUCACUUGAUAGGUAAAUUGAUAGCCGAAUGUUUUGUUUAUCAUGGAAAACCAGAGAUUAGCCUAUUUGAGCUCAGUGAUAGAGUUACUCAAUGAGAUCAUAAAUAGAAGCAUGAUUCAACCAAUAGACAUCAAUUUGAUGAAGGCAUGAAAAAUCUUAUUGUGUUAUGAUAUGAUGAUUGAUCCAAUAUGUUUUUGCCAAGUGAAGAAAAACACUAACAUGGCACUGAGUGAAAGCGAUCUAUACAAAGGCAAGAUUUGAAUAUUAUCCACCCGAAAGAGAAUGUCAGAUAUGACCACCAUCAGAAGAAGCAACAAUGCCACAAGUGAGCUCUCUUGUAUAUCCAUGUGCUAUUGUCGAUUCAGCGUCGCAUAUGUUGAGCGUUUAUGUUCUACAUGUGUUAGAUUUAGAAUAUUGUGGUGAGCACUUCCAUUCUUGCCAAUUGAGAUGGUGAGGCUCAGGAACACUUCAUUUGCCAUGGUGUUUUGAUUCGUCUUCUGCAGCAACAUGAAACUCUCAUUGUAAUUGUACCCACUUAUGCCUGAAUACUGCUAUUACUUCAGUUAGAUUCAAGAAGCACCAAGUUUCUGCAGCGCUCCUGCAUUUUGCUAAUGAUGAACUUCCUUCUCCAUUUCUUUCUUUUGUAAGGAAGAGUUAUGUACUUAUGAUGUAUGACUGGCUGGUUAAUUUUCUGUCAAUUCAACAACCAGUUUGUAUGGUGGCCAGUGCAAUUUGCCCGUAUGAACCAUUAGUUAUUAUAUAUGUACUGAUGUCUGGUUUGCCUGCUCUCCUGCAUUCUUCAUUACACUCCAUUGUUUGUAAUAACUUUAUUUCAGACUCGCAACCUAAAAUGCCGCAUUCAGUUUGUCCUAUGUUCUGAAGUUCCAUCUUCUAUUUGUCAUUUUGAUCAAAUAAACAGGGAAGUCGGCAGUGUCAUUUUGAUGUACCCGCUUAGGACCUGUAUUGAGUACAUCUUUCUGUUGGAGUACAACUGGAACUUGAUUUGCCAUUUCGUCUCGUGGGUACCUUUUCUGUCAAUCACUCUGGAGUGGAAGUAUUGCCCUCAACUGAUGCAACGCUUUCUGGACGAGAGAAUGAUUGGAUGUUGCCCUCAACUCAAGUGGCUCUUCUAUCUCUAUACAGGGGAGCAAAUCAUGUGAUGUUUUAUUUUGCUAUUUUGCGACCAAAUUGUAUGGUGCCGCAGACAAAUAAGACCUGUCUACUAGCAACUUGGUAUGAUAAAUUCACAGAAGCAUCUUGUUCAGUUGUUUCCACAGAUAUGUCUAACUGAAGUCUGUUUAAUUUGCACAAGAGAAUGAGCAUCAGUGAGUGACCAUGAGCAAGAGAAUGAGUAGGCUCUGCAAGAGCAGCGGUCGUAGGCAAUCCGAGUGUCUUCUUUGCAAGCGCCAUUUUCUUCCUGGACACAUGAGGAAUUGAUCUUUUUUUUUUGUUGCGAAGUAUGAGGAAUUGAUCUUAAUUUCACAACAACCAUAUAUGCAUGGAAUGGAAUCAGUAAAAUGGGUGCGCAUGGUGGUGCGCGGUGCCUAAUUUGAUUAAUGCAAACUAAUGCAUCUGCUCAGAGGCAUCUCUCUUGGUAAUGCAAACUAAGCAGUUUAUAACUAAACUAGUGCACACGCAAGCUGAGAGGCAUAGGUCGGAUCGUCUCAGGCACAUAGUACCAUAUUCACAAGCGCCAAAGAAACGGGCGGGAGUUUGAAUAUUGCAUGGGUGGAGUAAUUAACUAGAGUUGCUCACACGUACAAAUGGUCUCGAUCAGGGAGCAAGCGAGGAAUCUCUCGAUUAGGCACGACACCACGCUAGUAAAGUGCGUUGUAAUUUAACAGGCCACUGUAGUCGAAGCGGCAUCCAAGGAAACUUUUCUCCCAUCUCAAGAUCGCAUCGACCUUCAAUCUUAUGACAUGACACUUGGUACCGUGUCUACCACCUAGCUUAAAUACACAAAAUGCGUGUUAGUUCGUGUUACACACAUGGCUUAGACUAGCCACAGUGGAAGUAACUUCAACAGUAACAUCAAAUUCAACUCAGCAAAUUUGCUUAUGUGACAAUUAGUUCAAUGAGGAGAGAGGUAGUUGUAGUAACUUAGCUGGUUACUGUAAUAUCACACGUUCCAAUGCAAUAUGAGUCUAUAACCUAAUAAAUGAAUCUUUACAUGUUAUCACACUUAAGUUACUACCCAUUAUGAAGGUAAUAACAUAGUCUAGGGAUACGUGUAUGUUACUCUCCACUGUGGCUAGUAUUAGGUAUAAUUAGUUUAUAAGGCUGCUCCCAAUAUAUGAGUGCUUAGAUGAGGUGCUAAGCAUAUUAAAUAGCUUAGCAACUAUACUCCCCAAUAGGUGCUUAGCUUGUGUUUGCUAAGCUCACUACUAGGAAAGGGCUAUAGAUGAUAUGGCCACUAAUGGCGCACCAGAUAUGUGGUGCGUCACUACUAUAUAGUAAUGGCGCACCAUGAGUUGGUGCGCCAUUAGUGUGGUAGACACUAAUGGCGCACCAGACACACGGUGCACCAUUAGUAACAAUUUUUUUUCCAAAAAUACUAAUGGCGCAUCAGGGAAGAGUGCGUCAUUACUAGUUUAACUAGUAAUGGCGCACCACCAACGCAGUGCACCACUACUUUUUUUUGCAAAACUACGCACCUCAAGCUGGUGCUCCAUUAGUAACAAGGGUUACUAAUGGCGCAUUUGUGAGUGGUGCGCCAUUAGUAACCUGGGAUCAGCUACAUAUUUUGGACAGCCACACCUACACACUCACUUUUCCCACUUCAUUCUCUCCACCUUCUUCUCCAAGCUUGUGUCGGCUGCCUCCUCCUCCUCACCUCAUUUGCACCAUAAAUUCAUCAAAAUUAAGUGGUUAAAUUACCUUUUUUAUAGGUAAGUAAGGGAAAAACUAUCUUUAUGUUGUAGAUCUACUUUUUUUCUCCCUAGCUCGCUCCAACAACGUGCACAUGCACUUUUUAUGGCCUUGCUAGAUCUAUGUAUGUUUGUGGUGUUGCAUAUAUGUUUGUAUUUGCAGGUACCGGUAUUUGAAAUGCGAUAGUUGCCAAUAUUUUGCCGGAAUGUUGAUUCAUUUCCGUUUCGGCGAGAAUUCUGGCACUAUGCAUUCUUUUUGGUCCUAUUUUUAGGGAAAGUCAUGCCAAAUUUUUUCUUGGUUCUAAAAUAUCGUUUUGCUCUACCCCGCAUGCGACCAUGGUCCGCACGAUGACCGAAGGCAUCGUGAAUAGGUUUUUGAGCUCCGCGAAGGCCGAGAUGCUUCAAAAGAACGAGACGGAGAUAAGAUGUCCGUGUCGAAGAUGCAAGCUGAAGAGCCUUAUUGCGGACUCGGAUUCCGGGCAGGUGCGGGACCACCUGCUCUUGCGUGGUUUCAUGGAUGGCGCUAUCGGUGACAAGGUGAUGAAGAUGACUAUGAAGUCGUCCAUGGGGGCCGGGCAAGAAAUAAGGAAGGGCAGCAAGACAAUCACCGCGGCGAGGGCGGGCGAGAAGACGGAGAAUCUCCAGGACAUGAUCACGACGGUGAUACUGUACACAGUCAUCAUGUAGAAGAUGCCGGACAUGAUGAUGAGGAAGAUCAAGACGAAGGGCAUGAUCAUGAAGAUGAAGAUGUCGGAGCAGACGACGAUGGAGGCUGGGUGCAGGACCCUCAUAUUCAAGAGCUACUUCUCAAGCUGACGGAUAACACAAGAGCUGCCGCCCGAGAGAAAGCCAAGCUGGAUCAACUAGAGAUAGACGCGGUUACUCCAUUGUAUGAAGGAUGAAGGCUCGAGGAUACCCGCCUGAAAGUAACACUCAUGGCUCUGGAGAUGAAGGUAAAACACAAAAUGACCGACACAUACUUCGAUGAGAACAUGUCAUUCUGGCACGAACGUCUUCCCAAGGGGAACAAGUGCCCGACCAGUUUCGAGGAGGCGAAGAAAAUUGUGUGUCCUCUGGAUUUACCGCACGUGAAAUACCAUGUGUGCAUGAACAAUUGCAUCAUUUAUCGGGACAAGCACGUGGAGUCUACCAUAUGUCCGGUGUGCGGCGUCACUCGAUACAAGAAGAGGAAGAAAGCUCCUCGAAAAGUGGUGUGGUACUUUCCGAUCACUCCUCGUCUGCAGUGGUAUUUCGUGGACCCUAAGGUAGCAAAGCUCCUGCGUUGGCACGCGGAUAGGGAGGAGAAGAAGCGAGAAGAUGACGGAAAUGAUACGGAGAUAAAUAAAAAAGACAAGAUGCUGAGUCACCCUAAGGAUGCGAGCCAGUGGCAAGCGUUGAACUUCGAAGACCCAGAAUUUGGGAACGAUCUAAGGAACAUCAUGCUGGGCGCGAGCACCGAUGGAGUCAAUCCGUUUGGCAGCCAGAGAAGCACACAUAGCACCUGGCCUGUGUUUGUGUGGAUGUACAAGCUUCCCCCUGGUUGUGCAUGAAGAGGAAAUACAUUCACAUGAGUAUGCUAAUUGAAGGGCCGAAACAACCAGGGAACGACAUCAAUCUGUAUCUGGGGCUGCUGAAAGAGGAGCUAGACAUGUUGUGGAAAAUGCCAGCCAAUACGUGGGACGCCGCAGAGAAAUAAUAUUUCCCUAUGAGAGCCGCACUGCUCACGACGGUGCACGACUAUCUCGGUUACUGAUAUCUCGCGGGGCAGGUGGUCCACGGACUUUCUGGAUGCGUCGGGUGCAUGGAUGACACAACGUAUCGCCAGCUAGAUAGAGAUCCCGGGUCUUCGAAAACUGUGUUCAUGGGACAUAGAAGGUGGCUUCGCGACGAUGACCCGUGGAGAAAACGCAAGGAUCUGUUCGAUGGUGAAACCAAACCCCGAAGAUGCCUGCAUACGAGGAGCGGCGAGGAAAUAGACGAGCUGUUGAAAAAUUGGAAAGAUUGCCCACUGCCGGGAAAGAAGCAAAAGGCGCCAGAGCCGGGAAAGAAGCGAAAGGCGCCAGAGCCCCUGCUGAAGGUAUGGAAAACGAGGUCUGUUUUCUGGGACUUGUCAUACUGGAAGAUCCACCGUGUGCCUCACAGCCUUGAUGUCAUGCAUAUCACGAAGAACGUGUGCGAGAGUCUGCUUGGUACCCUGCUCAACAUGCCAGAGAGGACCAAAGAUGGGCCGAAAGCAAGGGCAGACAUGAAAUCAAUGGGCAUCAGGGAGGAGCUUCACGCUAAUGAUGAUGAUGAUGAGGGAAGCAGGACAAAGAAAGUUGUCGCAAAGGCAAAAAGGCCAAGAAGACCGGAAAUGACUACCCUCCCGUGUGCUUCACUCUAAGUCAGGAGGAGAUCGAGUAGUUUUUCACCUGUCUCAUAGGAGUAAAACUUCCUUACGGUUACGCGGGGAAGAUAAGCAGAUACCUAGACCCAGCGAAGCAGAAGUGAAGGAAAUAUGCCCUAGAGGCAAUAAUAAAGUUAUUAUUUAUUUCCUUAUAUCAUGAUAAAUGUUUAUUAUUCAUGCUAGAUUUGUAUUAUCCGGAAACAUAAUACUUGUGUGAAUACAUAGACAAACCAAACGUCACUAGUAUGCCUCUACUUGACUAGCUCGUUAAUCAAAGAUGGUUAUGUUUCCUAACCAUAGACAUGUGUUGUCAUUUGAUUAAUGGGAUCACAUCAUUAGGAGAAUGAUGUGAUUGACAUGACUCAUUCCAUUAGCUUAGCACCCGAUCGUUUAGUAUGUUGCUAUUGCUUUCUUCAUGACUUAUACAUGUUCCUAUGACUAUGAGAUUAUGCAACUCCCGUUUGUCGGAGGAACACUUUGUGUGCUACCAAACGUCACAAUGUAACUGGGUGAUUAUAAAGGAGCUCUACAGGUGUCUCCAAAGGUACAUGUUGGGUUGGCGUAUUUCGAGAUUAGGAUUUGUCACUCCAAUUGUCGGAGAGGUAUCUCUGGGCCCUCUCGGUAAUGCACAUCACAUAAGCCUUGCAAGCAUUACAACUAAUGAGUUAGUUGCAAGAUGAUGUAUUACAAAACGAGUAAAGAGACUUGCCGGUAACGAGAUUGAACUAGGUAUUGAGAUACCGACGACCGAAUCUCGGGCGAGUAACAUACCGAUGACAAAGGGAACAACGUAUGUUGUUAU